GGGGUCCGGCGGGAGGCAGGCAGGAAGCAGCGAAGCCGGGAAGGGCGGGGGCUCGUGCUCAGGUGAAACUCUUCCUCCUGCUCGCGAGCCAAGAGGAGCAGGGAUGGGGUUGGAGGCUGGACGGCUGUCUGGAGGCAAUUUCUGGGUGGGGUUGCUUGGAGCUCGAGGGGCCUACCAGAACCCACUGACUACCCCACAGUGUUUCAGGUGCCAGAGGGGAGAGCGAGGAGACCCCACACGAGCACAGACAUCCUGAGGCAAUCUGAAGACCCUCAAGAAGACCCCAGUCUUGGGAAGAAAAAGUCAGAGAUCAUGAAGAAACCGUACACCUCAGAUUGGGACUUGAACCCAGCCUAAACCCAGACUGACACUUGAACCCAGGCAGCCGGGACUCCAACCGGCCAAAACCCACAGUCUUCCAACUGAGAUCACACACCC
Molecule: non-coding RNA, 438 nt
Organism: Kogia breviceps (pygmy sperm whale)
Lineage: Eukaryota; Metazoa; Chordata; Mammalia; Artiodactyla; Physeteridae
Source: RefSeq, a predicted model, not a curated record